RNAcentral lists this transfer RNA (77 nucleotides) under Ruminococcus sp. XPD3002. RNAcentral describes it as "tRNA_Asp_GTC". It matches the Rfam family "tRNA". Rfam says of the family: Transfer RNA (tRNA) molecules are approximately 80 nucleotides in length. Their secondary structure includes four short double-helical elements and three loops (D, anti-codon, and T loops). Lineage: Bacteria; Bacillati; Bacillota; Clostridia; Eubacteriales; Oscillospiraceae. The record is from RNAcentral.
GGCCUCGUAGUUCAGUUGGUUAGAACGCCUGCCUGUCACGCAGGAGGUCGACAGUUCGAGUCUGUUCGGGGUCGCUA